RNAcentral lists this transfer RNA (71 nucleotides) under Neotoma lepida (desert woodrat). The record is from Rfam by way of RNAcentral. Lineage: Eukaryota; Metazoa; Chordata; Mammalia; Rodentia; Cricetidae.
GAAGAUGUAGCUCAGUUGGUAGAGUUUUUGCCUAACAUGCAUGAGGCCCUAGAUUCUCUUCUAGCACUUUA